Molecule: ribosomal RNA, 421 nt
Filed under: uncultured bacterium
Lineage: Bacteria
Description: bacterial SSU rRNA
Rfam family: Bacterial small subunit ribosomal RNA
Source: RNAcentral
GGGCCCGCACAAGCGGUGGAGCAUGUGGUUUAAUUCGAUGAUACGCGAGGAACCUUACCAGGACUUAAAUGUAAGUUGCAUGAUUCAGAAAUGAAUCUUUCUUCGGACUACUUACAAGGUGCUGCAUGGUUGUCGUCAGCUCGUGCCGUGAGGUGUCAGGUUAAGUCCUAUAACGAGCGCAACCCCUAUCGUUAGUUGCCAUCAAGUAAAGUUGGGAACUCUAGCGAAACUGCCGGUGCAAACCGUGAGGAAGGUGGGGAUGACGUCAAAUCAUCACGGCCCUUACGUUCUGGGCUACACACGUGCUACAAUGGCCGGUACAGAAAGCAGCCACUAUGCGAAUAGGAGCUAAUCUUUAAAACCGGUCGUAGUCCGGAUUGCAGUCUGCAACUCGACUGCAUGAAGCUGGAAUCGCUAGUAA